Molecule: ribosomal RNA, 472 nt
Filed under: Veillonella parvula
Lineage: Bacteria; Bacillati; Bacillota; Negativicutes; Veillonellales; Veillonellaceae
Description: bacterial SSU rRNA
Rfam family: Bacterial small subunit ribosomal RNA
Source: RNAcentral
GACGAACGCUGGCGGCGUGCUUAACACAUGCAAGUCGAACGAAGAGCGAUGGAAGCUUGCUUCUAUCAAUCUUAGUGGCGAACGGGUGAGUAACGCGUAAUCAACCUGCCCUUCAGAGGGGGACAACAGUUGGAAACGACUGCUAAUACCGCAUACGAUCUAACCUCGGCAUCGAGGAUAGAUGAAAGGUGGCCUCUACAUGUAAGCUAUCACUGAAGGAGGGGAUUGCGUCUGAUUAGCUAGUUGGAGGGGUAACGGCCCACCAAGGCGAUGAUCAGUAGCCGGUCUGAGAGGAUGAACGGCCACAUUGGGACUGAGACACGGCCCAGACUCCUACGGGAGGCAGCAGUGGGGAAUCUUCCGCAAUGGACGAAAGUCUGACGGAGCAACGCCGCGUGAGUGAUGACGGCCUUCGGGUUGUAAAGCUCUGUUAAUCGGGACGAAAGGCCUUCUUGCGAAUAGUGAGAAGGAU